Molecule: unclassified non-coding RNA, 157 nt
Filed under: Cladosporium cladosporioides
Lineage: Eukaryota; Fungi; Ascomycota; Dothideomycetes; Cladosporiales; Cladosporiaceae
Description: sequence contains ITS1, 5.8S rRNA gene, ITS2
Source: RNAcentral
CCCUUUGUUGUCCGACUCUGUUGCCUCCGGGGCGACCCUGCCUUCGGGCGGGGGCUCCGGGUGGACACUUCAAACUCUUGCGUAACUUUGCAGUCUGAGUAAACUUAAUUAAUAAAUUAAAACUUUUAACAACGGAUCUCUUGGUUCUGGCAUCAAU